GCUCUUUAAUUAAAAAAAUAAAUAAUGUAUAGUAAAAAAGUCAUUUUAAUGACUAUGGUGAUAAACAUUUUUUAGAAUAAGCUUAGCGGACCCGGGGGCGGUACCCGGCGCCUCCACCAAUAUUUUAAGGGGGCGAAAUAGGAUCGACGCAUGUAGUAAAAAUCAAACUUUCACUCGGCAUUGUACCACCGUUAUCGGACAAUUCAAGUAGUUGCAAAUGACAACUAUGCUCCGGUAGCUGCAGCAGCGUAAGCAGCCAAAGCAACCGAAACUUAGUCCAAUUCUUUAGCGAGUAUUGGCGGGGUUCAAAAUUACCUGGCAACAGAAAAUUUUAGGU
Molecule: transfer-messenger RNA, 337 nt
Filed under: Alphaproteobacteria bacterium
Lineage: Bacteria; Pseudomonadati; Pseudomonadota; Alphaproteobacteria
Rfam family: Alphaproteobacteria transfer-messenger RNA
About the family: Bacterial tmRNA, also known as 10Sa RNA or SsrA, is named for its dual tRNA and mRNA-like properties. Its role is to liberate the mRNA from a stalled ribosome. To accomplish this part of the tmRNA is used as a reading frame that ends in a translation stop signal.
Source: RNAcentral